AUGCCCAGAAAAUAUGGUAAGCUAUGUUAACAAGCCAUAUUAGAUAUCAAGCAUUAAUAUGGAAAUAAACCAGAGUAUUUUCCAAAAGAAGAGCAAGGGCCCGGCUGGAGGCUGACAGACUUCCAAGAACCUGAAUCCCCUCUUGGACUCCUGGCUUGCUUUUGGCUACAGAAUCAUCAUCUGCAUCUGGAGAUUUCCACUGGGACUUUCUGGAGGCAGACAAAUCCUGCCCUGAUUCUGGGGACCAUGCCUGUGGAGAUGCACAGUUCUACCAUUCAAAGUGACUAUCGGAAAACACCUCCUAAGAAGGACAAAACUUUUCUCCAGCUAAGAGGGUGCUUGUUAAUGUGAUUAGAUACAUAUGUAAUAGUGUCCCCCUCCCCUCUUAGCCCUUCAGUGUGUGUUCUUUCAGCCAGUGUAUCUACAUGCAGGAGAUGUUAAAGGAUGGAUGUAACUUCAGACCUUCAUUUCCCCAUAAGUAUUGCUUUCAGAGAAUAUCUAAUGAAGUUACAUGGAUGAAGAUUUCUGUAUCAUUUGUUUCCCAGAAUGGCUCUCCAACUUACAUUUCAUCAUCCACCCACAUAUCCAUUUAUCCAUUCAACCUUCAUGUACUGACUGAAAACUCCUCUCAUGUAGUUUUCCUCAGCAGUUUCCUCUUCUGGGGAUUUUCUGCUGUUUUGGUAACCUGUUUUAAUAUUGUAUUUUAUGUGUUCCCAAGGGCAAUGCAAGUUGUUUAAAGGGGCAAUUAUCUCAUGUGAUUUAUGAGAUUUGCUGGACAAAUUCCAAUAAAAAAUGUACUUGAGAAGUAUGUCACAGGUUUAUUGCUGGUAUCAAUAAAGUCUCUAUAGUGUGUGGCAAUCCAUGUUUUAAAGGAGUUAGCUUUGUGAUCAUAGAUGAUCAAAUCUAAUAUGCCAUCAAUUAUAAGAUUUAUUCCAGUUUUUGAGAUGUAAAAAUGUAAAAAAUAAAGGUCAGCAAUAAUUUUAUAAUGUCAUGUAUUGUAAGAUAUGUGUAGAAUCAAAAGAUGGUAAAACGUGAAAUAAAGUGCAUCUAAGAAUUGAU
Molecule: non-coding RNA, 1059 nt
Filed under: Pongo abelii (Sumatran orangutan)
Lineage: Eukaryota; Metazoa; Chordata; Mammalia; Primates; Hominidae
Source: RNAcentral